AAGGUAAUAACUUUGUUUUCAUAUUCUUCUACAGAUACAUUUCACGAAGUGUAAAAGAAACGUGAUAGAAGAAAAGAGAUAAUGCUACUUGUGAUUUAAUACCACAUGUACUAUAGCUUUACUCAUAAAUGCUCCUAUAUCAUUUAAUUUUAAGUUCAUGAUUACAUCUAAGAGAUUUGUGAUGCAUUUGAAGAUUUUUAGACAUAAGAAUUGUACCAGGUUGCAAGUUUAUGCGAAGUUAAGUGUUAAAGCCCAAAAUAUCUACAUUCCCAUAAGAAACUUGAUAAUCAUAAAAUGGUGAAUAUCAUCAUUUUUAGGACAUUUCAAACCUGCUUAGGUACUUUAAAAAUAUUUCUUUGUUGAUUAAUUUACCUUUCAUGGAGGUAGAGGAAGCCUU
RNAcentral lists this long non-coding RNA (397 nucleotides) under Olea europaea subsp. europaea. Lineage: Eukaryota; Viridiplantae; Streptophyta; Magnoliopsida; Lamiales; Oleaceae. The record is from RNAcentral.